This 497-nucleotide ribosomal RNA is filed under the name uncultured bacterium. Its description in RNAcentral is "partial 16S ribosomal RNA". It matches the Rfam family "Bacterial small subunit ribosomal RNA", at positions 28 to 507 of the family's 1533-position model. The record is from RNAcentral.
GAUGAACGCUGGCGGCGUGCCUAAUACAUGCAAGUCGAGCGAACAGACGAGGAGCUUGCUCCUCUGACGUUAGCGGCGGACGGGUGAGUAACACGUGGAUAACCUACCUAUAAGACUGGGAUAACUUCGGGAAACCGGAGCUAAUACCGGAUAAUAUAUUGAACCGCAUGGUUCAAUAGAGAAAUACGGUUUUGCUGUCACUUAUAGAUGGAUCCGCGCCGCAUUAGCUAGUGGGUAAGGUAACGGCUUACCAAGGCAACGAUGCGUAGCCGACCUGAGAGGGUGAUCGGCCACACUGGAAGUGAGACACGGUCCAGAGUCCUACGGGAGGCAGCAGUCGGGAAUCUGCCGCAAUGGGCGAAAGCCUGACGGAGCAACGCCGCGUGGGUGAUGAAGGUGUUCGGAUCGUAAAACUCUGUUAUUGGGGAAGAACAAAUGUGUAAGUAACUAUGGACGUCUUGACGGUACCUAAUCAGAAAGCCACGGCUAACUACGUG